Molecule: transfer RNA, 600 nt
Filed under: uncultured bacterium
Lineage: Bacteria
Description: partial 16S-23S ribosomal RNA intergenic spacer
Rfam family: tRNA (bases 169-242)
Source: RNAcentral
CUAAGGAUGUUCCUCCAGCGCCUCUCACGAGGUUCUAUUGGAACUCCAAUCAAAUGCGGGAUGCCGCCGUCUUCGUUUCUCUUUCCUCCUUCGCCGCCGCCGGCCAGCCAUACGGGUUGUUCGGACAGGCGGUUAGAUCGCGAGCCCGAAUACCGGGACCGCUGCCAUAGGCCCGUAGCUCAGGUGGUUAGAGCGUACGCCUGAUAAGCGUAAGGUCGGCAGUUCGAGUCUGCCCGGGCCUACCACUCCUUUGGUAGUGCGGAUCGGGGCCAUAGCUCAGUUGGUAGAGCGCGUGCUUUGCAAGCAUGAGGUCGUCGGUUCGAUCCCGUCUGGCUCCACCAUCCGGUGGCCGACGGCUCAGCGAUUAAGGAAAUACGGUUUGCGCCGGCGGCUUUGUCCGCAGGUUGCAUUGAAAUUGUAAAGGGAAGGUUCGACCGGGCAGUCAUGCUUUUGAGGUCGAGCUCGAGAAGACAUUGUCUGGCAAAAUAUCAAAGUCCAUGCGUGGGCGCUCCGGCACUUCUUUCCAGUCGGAGAGGCCACAAGCGCAUGGGUUUUGCUGAGAACGAUCAAACGCAAAAGGGCUUCUGACGGAUGCCUUGG